This 1320-nucleotide long non-coding RNA is filed under the name Numida meleagris (helmeted guineafowl). Its description in RNAcentral is "lncRNA (ENSNMEG00000017768.1)". Lineage: Eukaryota; Metazoa; Chordata; Aves; Galliformes; Numididae. The record is from RNAcentral.
AUGCCGAGACCCCGGCUCUGCGGCCGCUCAGGUUGCAGCAGCAGGUCCCUCGCGACGCAAAAGCAAACGCAGGGGCAGCAACCAGAGAGCAGAAAGCAUCCAUCAAAGGAAACAACACCAAAGUUAGAAAGAAUAGUAAGGAACCGUGCGCACACUCCUGCUAGCCAGAUGUCUGCCCGUUCUCCGCGCGGGUCUGGAGAGGAGCUUCAAGUCAUCCCUUCUCUGCCUUCUUUCCCCGGCCGCGCAGAGCAGUCCCCCGGGAGCGCCGCCCAGCCGAGCUGUGCGCGCACCGCACCACAGACGGAGCCGGAGCCGAGGCCGGGCCGGCACGAGGCGCUGCCCGCGCCCUGCCCCGCGCGUCCACGUGUCAGCGGGUUAGUUUGGGAAGGCUCACCUCGAGAAGCGUUUACAGUGGGUGAGGCUACAAGACGCCAGGCAAUUAGAGCAGACUUUGCUUUCUAUAAGCCAUUCCCAUUAACCUCUCUCUCCCUUAAGGCAACCGUGGCACACGCGAGAAACUCCGCGGAGCUCACCCGGGGGCUAUUUACCACAGCGUUUACCGCGGUAACCUCCCUCAAGAGAGAAGGCUGCAAGGCAGAAGGGCUCCAAACACACGCUCCAGCCCGGAGGGAACUCAGCAAGGCACAGGGAUGGCACGGGAGCGAAGGAACGCCCGCCGGUCCCACCACCCCGCUCCCUGUUCCGACCGCCGGGCAGCAGAGCCACGCUCCCGCCCAACGCGCGAACGCCGGUGCCCUACCUGCUAGGCAGCCCCGCCGCCGCCACCCCCAGCAUCGCGCUGAGCUCCGCCGCAACGGGAGGAGCCGUGCCGGUAAUGGCGCUGCGCGCCCGCCCCCUGCCCGCCCCGCGCUGCCGCCUGGGGGCGCACUCUUCCCGCUCCGCCGCCCGGCCGGGCCCCGCCUCAUCCCGCUGCCAGGCGGGAAGCGCCGCGCUGGGCUAGGCUGGGCUGGGCUGGGCUGGGCUCGGCUCGGGGGUGGGGGGUGGGCUUCUUCGGCCGCCGGCCCUCGGUGUGCGCGGCUGGCGGCACGCAGCUCUUGGCGCCGCUUUUCGGAACAGAAAAUUGCUGCCGAAACCACGGCAGCUAUUUUCGCUAUGUGUUCCGUGUGGUUUCGCAGCAGGGCGCGAACUCUGCAGUCCCCAGAGGACAGCGUGCUUGGGGCACGUGAGGGCAGCGGGCGUCGGCGCAGGCAGCCAUGCCUGGCAUAUUUGGCUCCAUCUUCCAAAUAUGGAGCCAAAUAUGGAAGAUGGAAAGAGAUUGUGCAGGAACAAGGACUGAUAACACCUGAUAACUGCUGUUAA